This 72-nucleotide transfer RNA is filed under the name Lasius niger. It matches the Rfam family "tRNA". From Rfam's summary of the family: Transfer RNA (tRNA) molecules are approximately 80 nucleotides in length. Lineage: Eukaryota; Metazoa; Arthropoda; Insecta; Hymenoptera; Formicidae. The record is from Rfam by way of RNAcentral.
GUCUGAAUAGUUCAGUGGUAAGAGCAGUUACCUGGAAAGUGAAAGACUCAGGUUCAAUUCCCGAUUCAGUCA